AACGAACGCUGGCGGCAGGCCUAACACAUGCAAGUCGAACGCUGUAGCAAUACAGAGUGGCAGACGGGUGAGUAACGCGUGGGAACAUACCCUUCGGUUCGGAAUAACUCAGGGAAACUUGAGCUAAUACCGGAUACGUGCGAGAGCAGAAAGAUUCAUCGCCGAAGGAUUGGCCCGCGUUCGAUUAGCUUGUUGGUGAGGUAAUGGCUCACCAAGGCGACGAUCGAUAGCUGGUCUGAGAGGAUGAUCAGCCACAUUGGGACUGAGACACGGCCCAAACUCCUACGGGAGGCAGCAGUGGGGAAUAUUGGACAAUGGGCGAAAGCCUGAUCCAGCCAUGCCGCGUGAGUGAUGAAGGCCCUAGGGUUGUAAAGCUCUUUCGUCAGGGACGAUAAAUGACGGUACCUG
This 408-nucleotide ribosomal RNA is filed under the name uncultured bacterium. RNAcentral's name for it is "bacterial SSU rRNA". It matches the Rfam family "Bacterial small subunit ribosomal RNA", at positions 29 to 481 of the family's 1533-position model. The record is from RNAcentral.